This 469-nucleotide ribosomal RNA is filed under the name uncultured bacterium. RNAcentral describes it as "partial 16S ribosomal RNA". It matches the Rfam family "Bacterial small subunit ribosomal RNA", at positions 28 to 507 of the family's 1533-position model. The record is from RNAcentral.
GACGAACGCUGGCGGCGUGCUUAACACAUGCAAGUCGAACGGAAAGGCCCUGCUUGCAGGGUGCUCGAGUGGCGAACGGGUGAGUAACACGUGGGUGAUCUGCCCCUUACUUUGGGAUAAGCCUGGGAAACUGGGUCUAAUACUGGCUAGGACCAUGCUGUAGGUGGUGUGGUGGAAAGAUUAGUUUCGGUAAGGGAUGAGCUCGCGGCAGAUCAGCUUGUUGGUGGGGUAUUGGCCUACCAAGGCGUCGACGGGUAGCCGGCCAGAGAGGGUGGACGGCCACAUCGGGACUGAGACACGGCCCAGACGCCUACGGGAGGCAGCAGUGGGGAAGAUUGCACAAGGGGCGCAAGCCUGAUGCAGCGACGCCGCGUGGGGGAUGACGGCCUUCGGGUUGUAAACACCUUGCAGCCAUGACGAAGCCCUUGUGGUGACGGUAGUGGUAGAAGAAGCACCGGCUAACUACGUG